RNAcentral lists this long non-coding RNA (1222 nucleotides) under Nicotiana benthamiana. Its description in RNAcentral is "long non-coding RNA (NBEN_LNC033179)". Lineage: Eukaryota; Viridiplantae; Streptophyta; Magnoliopsida; Solanales; Solanaceae. The record is from RNAcentral.
GUGAGUAUAAGGGUGGGUGGUCUAAAAUUUGAGAUCCUAGGGGAAAAAUUAGUGUUUCUAUUUGAUAUUUUUGUUUUUUCUUUUCUAAUUCUUUUUCUUUUAAUUUAUCUUCUUUUUUUCGACAGGAAGUUCUCUUUGAUUUAUUCUUUCCAUUUCUUUUUUCUUUUUUCAGUAAUUUCUUUUCUAAAUUUUGUUAAUAAUAAGUUGUAGUGGUUUAACUUUUGUGUGAGUAUGACACCAUCUUCCACUGUUCAUUGACCAUGUCAGAUAUAGAGAUGUCUUUUAUCUUUGUGGAUAUUGAAUUCUUAUUUUGACACUGAUAUAGGUUAUGUUCCAAGCAUACACAUAUUGUGCACAGUGGAUUAGUGUCUUCAUUGUGGAUAUCCUGUAGAUAUUUCCCGAUCAUGACAGUCCUCUGUAGAGAUUAUCCUAGGGGUGACAGAAUACACAAGCAUGUAUAAUGUCCCCUUGUCGUGUUUGUAGUGCAGCUGUCAAUCUUUGAAGUGUCCCAAAUCAUUUGGCCAAAUUUUUUUAGUAUUUCAAGGUCAUAGUACUCAGUAGGUAAUUCCUGAAGGCGUACCCAUAUUGUGGAGAAAUUAAUAUGGUUUGUGUUGGGAUUGAAUUUUGGUGUCCAUUUUCUGCCACUAAGGUACUGUGUGCCAAUAAACUAAAGUCUGUUAUUAGUGCUCUUUGAUAGUGGUCAUGGAAUGAAAACCGGAUCAUGUAGUAGUCAUUACCUAAAUUGAUGAGGUUUAUGGAUUUGUUGAAUUCGAGAUUCUUGAAUUUUUGUGCAUAAUAAGUUGUGGCCCAUAUGUUUUUCCAAAAUUUUGAUGAUUAAUUGUUUUUCAGGGCUCGUAUAGUCUGGUUUUGUCUGAUAUUGUAAUGGCUAUAAAGUUAGGGUGGUUUGAUGGGUUAUCUUUUUCCUCUUCUAAACUAAGGUUGCUAAAAAUUAUGCAAUCAAAAUCCAUGGAAGAAAAAGUUUGUUUUUGAGUUACUGUAUCUCUAUAACUAACAUGUGUCUCCAUAAAUGUGUCACAAUUUUUGGUCUAUGCAUACUGCGUGAAAGCAUGUCUUUUUCUUCAUUGGUUAGCGUGCCUUCUUCCAUUCGUUGGAUUUGUGGUUUGGCGGAAGGUGACUUUUGCAGUGGUCUUUUAAUGAGUUGUUUGAAUGGUUGAUCGAUUGAUUUCUGUUUCUCUCUCUAUUUCUAGACAGAAUUCAGAGC